RNAcentral lists this ribosomal RNA (147 nucleotides) under Microsporidium sp. HEM-2006AAb. RNAcentral's name for it is "partial 16S ribosomal RNA". It matches the Rfam family "Microsporidia small subunit ribosomal RNA", at positions 698 to 841 of the family's 1311-position model. Lineage: Eukaryota; Fungi; Microsporidia. The record is from RNAcentral.
AAUGAACGAGCGGGGUGUGUUGUCUGUUCACGAGAAUCUGUUUUGUGUGCGCUCUGGAGAUAGUGUGACCGCAGGAGGGAAACUUAAAAAGAUUGACGGAGGGACCCCACCGGGAGUGGAGUGUGCGGUUUAUUUUGACUCACCGCG